CAAAUAUCAGUCCAUCUCCCCUCUCUUACCUACCAGUGAACGGCUGGUAAGUUCUUUGCUGCCAUGGAGGCUUCAAAAUUUUCGGCGAUGCAUUUCAAGCCCCAACUAAACCGUUCUAGUUUAUUCAGGGAUGCAAAAGAUGAUUUUGAUUGUAUCAUUGAGUUCAUAGUCAGAGGUAUUGGUGUAUGAGAAGGCAUGAAUCGAUAUAUGGUGAUGGACUCAAUGCUAUGUUCCCUUCAUAAUUCUAGAAUUAGUUAGGCCUUUGAUUUUGGUGAAUGAAAUCAAUGUUAUUAUUGCAAAUUGAAGUAUUUGAGGUGGUGUGAUAAUUUACAAAAUGAUUAUGAACGUAAGCACUGUUGCAUUGCAGAGAACAUACACAUUUACAUGUGUUAUGCACCAACAAUGGUGCGACGCUUCGUCAUCAUCUUUACCCUUGUUCUCACAGGCACAACAAAGUGGUUUUGAGUGGAAAUGCCAGAGUAGAAGCUACAUUUCCAGUGCUCAAACUUCACAGGAUCCAACAAUGUUCUCUGGUCGAGGGCAACCAUGUAUAUAUCGUGCAUCCUAGUGUGAGUGGCAUACCUGGUUGUGUCCUUGUGAUGGGGAGUUGGGAAUUUGUUUGCACGGACUACGAGUUCCCCCUUGAGAUUGAGAUAAUGGAUAUUAAGGUACAUGUAAGAGGUGAGCUUGCAUCCAGACAAAUUGGAUUAGACGUUGAAAAUUCCACCUUUUGGACCAUUGGUUCUCUCUUCCAUUAACUUAUUGAGGUUUUUACCACAAUGGCUGCAAUCUUCUUGUUAGGUACAAAUGCAAGCAUUUGGUUGUUUAUACUCAUCACCAUACAGGACACAUUCCCUUAAAUCAAAUUCAUCAUUAUUCCCCCUGUGUGCUCUCAUGUGAUAAAAGUUUUAAAUAUUCAUUUGACCAUUUAUACUAUAUCCAAGGCUAUAAUUUUUACUCUUUGACCCAUGACCAAUCUAGUUCAUGUUCGUUUUCUUAAUCUGAUGAACGAAAUAGAAUAAGUGAUAUGACCACGAGUGUUGAGCAUCAUUUUGAAUUUGGUAUUAGGCAUGGUUGAAGGGACGAAGUUUAUAGGGAAGAAGAUUGUGGUAAAUUGUGUCGUAUUAUUCACUUUGACUACCACUCUUUAAAUAGAGUUUUACAUCACUUGUACAAGGUAAGAUUUACACAAUCAUAGGAAAUAAAUUACUCAAUCAAUACUAAUUGAUUUAUGCUGAUUUUAUUCUUGUUUCCUUUUUUGGAUGAUUCUGAUAUCUUAACGUGAUCUUCUUCCUUGCUCAACACUCCCCC
Long non-coding RNA from Salvia splendens (bonfire salvia), 1311 nucleotides. RefSeq lists it as uncharacterized. The transcript is spliced from 3 exons. NCBI's taxonomy places the organism in Eukaryota, Viridiplantae, Streptophyta, Magnoliopsida, Lamiales, Lamiaceae. The record is from RefSeq and is a predicted model, not a curated record.